Molecule: transfer RNA, 63 nt
Filed under: Eublepharis macularius
Lineage: Eukaryota; Metazoa; Chordata; Lepidosauria; Squamata; Eublepharidae
Description: tRNA-Cys
Source: RNAcentral
AGCUCCGGGGUGAGAUCACGCUAAAUUGCAAGUUUAGAGAAGCACCUAAAAGUGCCGGGGCUU